This 515-nucleotide ribosomal RNA is filed under the name uncultured bacterium. RNAcentral's name for it is "partial 16S ribosomal RNA". It matches the Rfam family "Bacterial small subunit ribosomal RNA", at positions 28 to 523 of the family's 1533-position model. The record is from RNAcentral.
GAUGAACGCUGGCGGCGUGCCUAAUACAUGCAAGUCGAGCGAAUGGAUUAAGAGCUUGCUCUUAUGAAGUUAGCGGCGGACGGGUGAGUAACACGUGGGUAACCUGCCCAUAAGACUGGGAUAACUCCGGGAAACCGGGGCUAAUACCGGAUAACAUUUUGAACCGCAUGGUUCGAAAUUGAAAGGCGGCUUCGGCCGUCACUUAUGGAGGGACCCGGGUCGCAUUAGCUAGUUGGUGAGGUAACGGCGCACCAAGGCAACGAUGCGUAGCCGACCUGAGAGGGUGAUCGGCCACACUGGGACUGAGACACGGCCCAGACUCCUACGGGAGGCAGCAGUAGGGAAUCUCCCGCAAUGGACGAAAGUCUGACGGAGCAACGCCGCGUGAGUGAUGAAGGCUUUCGGGUCGUAAAACUCUGUUGUUAGGGAAGAACAAGUGCUAGUUGAAUAAGCUGGCACCUUGACGGUACCUAACCAGAAAGCCACGGCUAACUACGUGCCAGGCGCCGCCGUAA